This 781-nucleotide ribosomal RNA is filed under the name uncultured bacterium. RNAcentral's name for it is "bacterial SSU rRNA". It matches the Rfam family "Bacterial small subunit ribosomal RNA", at positions 650 to 1441 of the family's 1533-position model. The record is from RNAcentral.
AAUAGAGGUAGGUGGAAUUCCCGGUGUAGUGGUGAAAUGCGUAGAUAUCGGGAGGAACACCAGUGGCGAAAGCGACCUACUGGGUUGAUUCUGACGCUUAGGCCCGAAAGUGUGGGGAGCAAACAGGAUUAGAUACCCUGGUAGUCCACACUAUAAACAAUGGACACUAGAUAUGGGGAGUAUCGACCCUCUCCGUGUCGAAGCUAACGCGUUAAGUGUCCCGCCUGGGGAGUACGGCCGCAAGGCUAAAACUCAAAGGAAUUGACGGGGGCCCGCACAAGCAGCGGAGCGUGUGGUUUAAUUCGAUGCAAAACGAAGAACCUUACCAAGGCUUGACAUGCAAGAAGUAGUGAACCGAAAGGGAAUCCGACUGUUAAAUCAGUAGCUUGCACAGGUGCUACAUGGCUGUCGUCAGCUCGUGCCGUGAGGUGUUUGGUUAAGUCCUGCAACGAGCGCAACCCUUAUUGCUAGUUGUAUUUUCUAGCGAGACUGCCCCGCAAAACGGGGAGGAAGGUGGGGAUGACGUCAAGUCAGCACGGCCUUUAUGCCUUGGGCUACACACACGCUACAAUGGACGGUACAAUGGGUUGCAAUGGAGCGAUUCGGAGCUAAUCCUGAAAGCCGUCCUCAGUUCAGAUUGCAGGCUGAAACCCGCCUGCAUGAAGUAGGAGUUGCUAGUAAACGCGUAUCAGCAUGGCGCGUUGAAUACGUUCUCGGGCCUUGUACACACCGCCCGUCACGUCAUGAAAGUCGGCAACACCUGAAGUCGAUGGGCUAACUC